AAGUUGAUUUAAGAGAGGUAAACAAUGCCUAGGAUUCUUUUAUCACAUGGAUGUUACUUAAUUAGUUGUAGUAAGUUCUGUUUGAGUCAAAUUAUUUAGCAAAGUAGGUGCUAAGAAAUAAAUGGAAUUUGGUUCUUCUAGUGUUUAAUGCCCUGCUUUGGUAUGUAAUACCCAAAGUCAAACAUUAAUGAACAGUUAACAUUUGUGUUUGUUACAUUGUACUUGUAAACAUAAACAAUGAAAAGUGCUUCUUGAUUUCAUGAAUGCUUGAAUUGUGUUGUUUUCCCAGGAUGAUUUUUCUCCCACGAGUAAGCUUCAGCGUUUGCUGGCAGAAUCCCGUCAGAUGGUUACAGAUCUGGAGCUGAGCACCCUGCUCCCCAUCAGCUCUGAGAAUCUCAGCAGCAGCGCCAAAAAUAAUGUGGAAGUCUCAGAAGAGUCAGCUGAAAAAAAUACCCUUUCUCAGUAACUGAAGAAAGCAAAUUCGUGUAUUCAUGGUGAUCAUGGAAGCCGAUUUCUCAUCCGUGUGGAAGGCAGGAAGCAGACAUCAAUACCUACUACUUAACCUUGAAAACAAAAACAGGAUUGUAAUCCUUCGUAAGCAACAUUUAAUACCAAAGGGGAGCAGAAACUGAAAGUUAAUUUUUAAACAUCUAUAUUUUGUUUGUCUUCAGGUUAACCAUUUUCAUGUGUAAGAAAUAUUUUUCAUGUGUAAGAAAUUAGACCUAAUUGUAUAUUAUAUAUAAUAUACAAACUUGGAAUUAUGCUAAGAGAAAAAAAAGCCUUCUCUGUAAAGAUGCACACUACAGUUAAAUACUCGAGAAGCUCUUUAAAAGUGUGAACAUCAAAUAGAGAAUCCAUGCAUAUAAAAUGCUGUUUUAACUAUCUGAUUUUUUAAAAACCUGUGCAUACAUUUAAAUUAUAACCAGUAGCUUAUCAGAGUCAGCUCCAAAUCUAUGAGAAAUAUGUUCUCUUGUGGUUUUUAGCCCUGAACUUUGCUGGGUAAAGACAUAAAAUGAUAUGAUAUAAAAUAUUUUAAACCAGAAACUAUCUCCUGGGUUACUGACAGUCGAGGUCCUUCUGUUCCAAAAGCUGUAGCAGAGCCCCCUCUUGUCUGGGUCAGUAGUAGUCCUGUCAACUUAUACAAACGAAAGCUUGCUGGAAGAUCAAGUUUUUUAUGCAUUUUUUUAUCAUUAAAGACUAAAACAUUUCUGUUUUAACUUGUAAUUUU
Long non-coding RNA from Physeter macrocephalus (sperm whale), 1228 nucleotides. RefSeq lists it as uncharacterized. The record is from RefSeq and is a predicted model, not a curated record. The transcript is spliced from 3 exons. NCBI's taxonomy places the organism in Eukaryota, Metazoa, Chordata, Mammalia, Artiodactyla, Physeteridae.